AGCUAAUACUUGCUUUAGCACUCUUGAUUAAGUUCUUGAGUGUGUACUUGUUAAGCCUUUUAAGAAAAAAGUUAUUAACUUAAGGAAUUAUAACAAAGAAGUAACACGUAAUGGAUCCGUCCGUUUUUAGUGUGUAUCAAUCGAGUUUCUGACCUAUCAGCUUUUGAUGUUAGGGUAUUGGCCUAACAUGGCUAUGACGGGUUACGGGGAAUUAGAGUUCGAUUCCGGAGAGGGAGCCUGAGAAAUAGCUACCACAUCUAAGGAAGGCAGCAGGCGCGUAAAUUACCCAAUUCUAAAGGAGAGGGGUAGUGACAAGAAAUAACAAUACAAGGCCAAUCUGGCUUUGUAAUUGGAAUGAUGGGAAUUUAAAACCUUCCCAAAACUCAAUUGGAGGGCAAGUCUGGUGCCAGCAGCCGCGGUAAUUCCAGCUCCAAUAGCGUAUAUUAAAAUUGUUGCAGUUAAAACGCUCGUAGUCGAAUUUCAAAGAAUCGACAUUUUAAGUAACGCUUUUAGCUUAAUCCACAUAACUGAUACUACGUAUCGACUUUGUGCGCAUUUUGCUAUUAUGUGUUCUUUUAAUUAAAAUGAUUCUUUUUAAGGUCUUUCUUUUGCUCCGGCAUUUGAAGAUCUUGUUACUUUGAGUAAAUUAGAGUGUUCAAAGCAAACAGAUAUAGCAUUGCGCGUUUGAAUACUACAGCAUGGAAUAACAAAAUUGAACAAGUCAGAAUUUUGUUCUUUUUUCUUAUUUUGGCUUAGUUACGAUUAAUAGGAGUAGCUUGGGGGCAUUUGUAUUCAGAUGUCAGAGGUGAAAUUCUUAGAUUUUCUGGAGACAAACAACUGCGAAAGCAUUUGCCUAAAAUACUUCCAUUAAUCAAGAACGAAAGUUAAGGGAGUGAAGACGAUCAGAUACCGUCGUAAUCUUAACCAUAAACUAUGCCGACUAGGCUUUGGAUGAAAGAUUUUAAAAUAAGA
RNAcentral lists this ribosomal RNA (972 nucleotides) under Plasmodium cynomolgi. RNAcentral describes it as "SSU rRNA". It matches the Rfam family "Eukaryotic small subunit ribosomal RNA", at positions 162 to 1077 of the family's 1831-position model. The record is from RNAcentral. Lineage: Eukaryota; Apicomplexa; Aconoidasida; Haemosporida; Plasmodiidae.